This 26-nucleotide non-coding RNA is filed under the name Homo sapiens (human). The record is from RNAcentral. Lineage: Eukaryota; Metazoa; Chordata; Mammalia; Primates; Hominidae.
UCCACUCAGAGCUCCCCAGAGAUGCC